AGAACGAACGCUGGCGGCAGGCUUAACACAUGCAAGUCGAGCGCCCAGCAAUGGGAGCGGCGGACGGGUGAGUAACACGUGGGAACAUGCCCUUUGGUACGGGACAACUCAGGGAAACUUGAGCUAAUACCGUAUGAGCCGGUAACGGGAAAGAUUUACCGCCAAAGGAAUGGCCCGCGUCCGAUUAGCUAGUUGGUGAGGUAAUGGCUCACCAAGGCACCGAUCGGUAGCUGGUUUGAGAGAACGACCAGCCACACUGGGACUGAGACACGGCCCAGACUCCUACGGGAGGCAGCAGUGGGGAAUCUUGGACAAUGGGGGCAACCCUGAUCCAGCCAUGCCGCGUGAGUGAUGAAGGCCUUCGGGUUGUAAAACUCUUUCGACGGGACGAUAAUGACGGUACCGUAGAAGAAGCUCCGGCUAACUUCGCGCCAGCAGCCGC
RNAcentral lists this ribosomal RNA (442 nucleotides) under uncultured bacterium. RNAcentral describes it as "SSU rRNA". It matches the Rfam family "Bacterial small subunit ribosomal RNA", at positions 26 to 518 of the family's 1533-position model. The record is from RNAcentral.